AUAUUCCCUGUUGGUUGAUAAAUGUUCAUAUAUAUUUAUGGAUUGGAUAUGAAUAUGUUAAGAUACAAUCACUAAAAGUAUUGAUAAAAUGUUAAUUUCGCUACAUUUCACCUUUUUCUGUUUUUUUUCAGUGUGAAUAUUGCCACUAUACAUUGGAUCUACCCUUCGCAUUCUUGCCGUUUAAGUGAUUCUUGGAAUUACAUGGGAUCCACAUCAUUACCUGAAUUGUAGGACUUGUUCAUGUGAAUAUUAGUUCGCUUCAAAGAAAGAGGAAGUGGAAGGCACCACAG
Molecule: non-coding RNA, 290 nt
Organism: Pelobates cultripes (western spadefoot toad)
Lineage: Eukaryota; Metazoa; Chordata; Amphibia; Anura; Pelobatidae
Source: the annotation of a GenBank genome assembly